Long non-coding RNA from Nyctereutes procyonoides (raccoon dog), 1854 nucleotides. RefSeq lists it as uncharacterized. NCBI's taxonomy places the organism in Eukaryota, Metazoa, Chordata, Mammalia, Carnivora, Canidae. The transcript has 3 exons. The record is from RefSeq and is a predicted model, not a curated record.
CCCCGCCCACCCGCCAGCCAGCCCCUUAGCUCUACGGACCCCAGCAGGCAUGUUGGGAGGAAUGCAGUCGUGUCUGGGGCUGUCUGACGCGUCCCAUCUCCCCAGACAGGCCCUGACAGCCCCCGCUGGAGGCUCCAACGCUCUUCCUAGGAUCAACUGCUUCCACAAAGGAAGCAAAACCUCCUUCUCCCCCCAACCCCGACUGCCAUCAAAGCAGACACCAGAAAGCACCCCCUCACCAGGGCUUAGGAGCUUGGGAGACAACGCUGAGACAGACACUGGAGGCUGUGGGCUCCCCAAAUCUGCCGCCCAAGGACUCUCAAGGAUGUGAGAAACCAUGGAUAAAAUCCCUAGAGCACAGGACACAGGAAAAGCUCUCCUCUUCUACCCUCUACCCUGAUUCAGUGGAACCCAAAAGAAGCUUCUUCCUUGCCAGCCUCCAAGGGAAAACUAAAAGUAAAGAGGUCUCUGCCCUUAGGAAGCCGGCAACCUGCAAGGAGAAAGAGGACACACAUCAAAAUUACUUAAGAUGCGGACAAACAGAAGAAAAGUGCAAUCCUGGCAGCCCGGCUGGCUCAGCAGGUUAGCGCCACCUUCAGUCCAGGACAUGAUCCUGGAGACCCAGAUGGAGUCCCACGUCGGGCUCCCUGCAGGGAGCCUGUUUCUCCCUCUGCCUGUGUCUCUGCCUCUCCCUCUCUCUCUCUCCGAUCUCUCUCUCUCUCUCUCUCUCUCUCUCUCUCUCUCUCUCUCUCUCUCUCCCCCUCUGUCUUUCAUGAAUAAAUAAAUAAAAUAUUUAAAAAACAACAACAACAACAAAAAGUGCAAUCCAUAUGUAUUAGUUUCCUGGGACUGCCGUAACAAAUCACCACAAAUGUUGUGGGUUAAAACAAUAGAAGUAUAUUCUCUCACUGCUCUGGAGGUCAGAAGCCCAAAAUCAAGGUGUCGUCAGGGCCACACUCCCUCUGAAGGCUCCAGGGGACAGCCCUUACUUACCUCUUCCAGCUUCUGGUGGCUCCCUGCAUUCCUUGGUCUGUGGCAACAAAACUCUAAUCUCUGCCUCCCCAUCUUCACAUGGCCCUUUAUGUCUCAAUCUUUCUCUCUGUGUGUCCUUUUCUGCCUCUUUUAAGGACACUCCUUGGGUUCAGCGCUCACCCUAACCCAGUGUGAUCUCAAUUCUCACCAUAAUGAAUGACAUCUGCAGAGACCCUAUUUCUAAAUAAGUCACAAAUUUCAAGGUUCCAGUGGACGUGACUUUGCAGGGGAUACUGUUCAACCCACAACACAUGUGACAGACCAGGAGCUAUCCACAAUGCAAGGGGAGAGGUGGUGAACAGUUGGUGGAGGCAUGACUGUAACAAGAUGUGGGCAGGGCCAGUCUGGAAGGCUUCUGGGGGCAGCUGGUAGCUCCACAAAGAAAGGUACUAGGGGAUGGGGCAGCAGAGAGACAGAAUUCUCAGGAGUCCGGGCCACACUUCCCACCACCCAAUUUCUCCGGGCCCUUUAUACAUAAAAAAUUGCUCUGGGAGAGAGCCCUUUUUUAUUUUUGUUUUUAAAUUUUUCUUCUGAAAUCAUAGAAAAAGUUGCAAAAAUAGUACAGAGAAUUCAUGUGCAACUUUCACCCAGCUUCCCCAUUAUGGUCAUGGUGCAUAACCAUUGUUCAAUUAUCAAAACAAAUAAAUUAACAUUGACCUUAAUGUCCCUUUCUGUUGUGGGAUACCAUAUUUCAUUGGUUGUCAGGUCAGCUUGGUCUCUCCCUGCCUGUGACAGCUCCUUAGUCCAUCCUUUUCUUUCAUGACCUUGACAGUUUGGAAGAGGCUUAGUCAAAAGGAUAUCCCUCAGUUUGGGUUUUCCUCA